CCUACGGGAGGCAGCAGUGAGGAAUAUUGGUCAAUGGGCGAGAGCCUGAACCAGCCAAGUCGCGUGAGGGAGUACUGCCCUAUGGGUUGUAAACCUCUUUUGUCGGGGAGCAAAAGCCGGACCUUUUCGGGUGUGAGAGUAACCGAAGAAAAAGCAUCGGCUAACUCGGCGCCCGCAGCCGCGGUAAUACGGUGGAUGCGAGCGUUAUCCGGAUGUUUUGGGUUUUAAGGGUGCGCAGGCGGAUUUUUAAGUCAGCGGGUAAAUCGUGGGGCUCAACCCCAUCCAGUCGUUGAAACUGGGGAUCUAGAGUGUGCGAGAGGUAUGCGGAAUGCGUGGUGUAGCGGUGAAAUGCAUAGAUAUCACGCAGAACCCCGAUUGCGAAGGCAGCAUACCGGUGCACAACUGACGCUCAGGCACGAAAGCGUGGGUAUCGAACAGGAUUAGAUACCCGAGUAGUC
Molecule: ribosomal RNA, 458 nt
Filed under: uncultured bacterium
Lineage: Bacteria
Description: partial 16S ribosomal RNA
Rfam family: Bacterial small subunit ribosomal RNA
Source: RNAcentral